Non-coding RNA from Mus musculus (house mouse), 44 nucleotides. NCBI's taxonomy places the organism in Eukaryota, Metazoa, Chordata, Mammalia, Rodentia, Muridae. The record is from Rfam.
UGAAAGGUUUUUUUUAAAACCAUAAAUAGCACUGAAUUUUGUUA